This 460-nucleotide ribosomal RNA is filed under the name uncultured bacterium. Its description in RNAcentral is "partial 16S ribosomal RNA". It matches the Rfam family "Bacterial small subunit ribosomal RNA", at positions 338 to 795 of the family's 1533-position model. The record is from RNAcentral.
CCUACGGGAGUCAGCAGUGAGGAAUAUUGGUCAAUGGACGAGAGUCUGAACCAGCCAAGUAGCGUGAAGGAUGACUGCCCUAUGGGUUGUAAACUUCUUUUAUAUGGGAAUAAAAUGUUCCACGUGUGGGAUUUUGUAUGUACCAUAUGAAUAAGGAUCGGCUAACUCCGUGCCAGCAGCCGCGGUAAUACGGAGGAUCCGAGCGUUAUCCGGAUUUAUUGGGUUUCAAUGGAGCGUAUGUGGAUUGUUAAGUCAGUUGUGAAAGUUUGCGGCUCAACCGUAAAAUUGCAGUUGAAACUGGCAGUCUUGAGUACAGUAGAGGUGGGCGGAAUUCGUGGUGUAGCGGUGAAAUGCUUAGAUAUCACGAAGAACUCCGAUUGCGAAGGCAGUUCACUGGACUGCAACUGACACUGAGGCUCGAAAGUGUGGGUAUCAAACAGGAUUAGAUACCCCUGUAGUC